RNAcentral lists this non-coding RNA (84 nucleotides) under uncultured Merdibacter sp. RNAcentral's name for it is "Purine riboswitch". The stretch from base 12 to 78 matches the Rfam family "Purine riboswitch aptamer", at positions 19 to 87 of the family's 102-position model. Rfam says of the family: Riboswitches are metabolite binding domains within certain messenger RNAs that serve as precision sensors for their corresponding targets. Allosteric rearrangement of mRNA structure is mediated by ligand binding, and this results in modulation of gene expression. A class of riboswitches that selectively recognises guanine and becomes saturated at concentrations as low as 5 nM. The record is from RNAcentral. Lineage: Bacteria; Bacillati; Bacillota; Erysipelotrichia; Erysipelotrichales; Erysipelotrichaceae.
UUACAACCGUGCUUCGUAUAUGCCUGUUGAUAGGGAACAGGCGUUUCUACCCUAAACCGUAAAUUUGGGACUACGAAGGAGAGA